GAAUAUUGCGCAAUGGACGAAAGUCUGACGCAGCCACGCCGCGUGCAGGAAGACACCCCUCAGGGGCGUAAACUGCUUUUAUACGGGAAGAACACCCUGGUCGCCAGGGAUUGACGGUACCGUAUGAAUAAGGACCGGCUAACUCCGUGCCAGCAGCCGCGGUAAUACGGAGGGUCCAAGCGUUGUCCGGAAUCACUGGGUGUAAAGGGUGCGCAGGCGGGCUUAUAAGUCAGGGGUGAAAGCCACCGGCUCAACCGGUGAACUGCCCUUGAUACUGUAAGUCUUGAGUCCUGGAGAGGCUGUCGGAAUUCGUGGUGUAGCGGUGAAAUGCGUAGAUAUCACGAGGAACACCGGAGGCGUAAGCGGACAGCUGGACAGGUACUGACGCUCAGGCACGAAAGCGUGGGGAGCGAACAGG
RNAcentral lists this ribosomal RNA (418 nucleotides) under uncultured bacterium. RNAcentral describes it as "bacterial SSU rRNA". It matches the Rfam family "Bacterial small subunit ribosomal RNA", at positions 359 to 776 of the family's 1533-position model. The record is from RNAcentral.